This is a non-coding RNA of Cicer arietinum (chickpea), 627 nucleotides long. NCBI's taxonomy places the organism in Eukaryota, Viridiplantae, Streptophyta, Magnoliopsida, Fabales, Fabaceae. The record is from RefSeq and is a predicted model, not a curated record.
CUUAUAAUUUCUUUUAGAAAAACCAAAGCACUCUCUUGACGUCAACCGAAAUAAUGACUCUAAGAGUCCCGUUCAGCCGCCACAAAUCUUCUUUGUAAGAUGUACAUAACCAGACGUGUUCGUGAUUAUGAGUCAUUAGCUAAGAAUGUUGAUGGUUCUCAACGUAGAAAUCAUGAUGUGUCAUUAAAUUGGAUUGUUUAGUUAGAAUUAGCCAGAGAUAUGCCCAAUUUUAUUGUGCUUUUAUUAUUUUUGCUAAUAUUUUGUCUCCUCUUCAGGUAGUUAAGAGUUACUUGGCAGUUGGUAAAGAUAUUGCAUUAUCUAGAGUUUUGGCAAGAAACAGAUAAAGCAACUUAUCUUUUGAGCCAAUAUUUCUUUCAUAAAUUGUAUGGUUGAUUAAGUACUCGACCUUUUCUUAGUUUCGUUGAGAAGAAAUGGUUGGCUUUUCAGGUGAUAUCAAGUGUGAAAAAGUGCUAAUUACGUUAUCAAAUUGGCUUUAUCUUGCCGACUUUGCCUCUUUCAAACCCACUUACAUUCCGUAUGAUGACCCAUUUGAUUUCUCUUUUUUCUUUGACACGGGUGGCAGAAGACUCUGCUAUCUAGCACCUGAUGUUGGAUCCUAUAAUUUUA